AACGAACGCUGGCGGCAUGCCUAACACAUGCAAGUCGAACGAGACCUUCGGGUCUAGUGGCGCACGGGUGCGUAACGCGUGGGAACCUGCCCUUAGGUUCGGAAUAACUCCCCGAAAGGGGUGCUAAUACCGGAUAAUGUCUUCGGACCAAAGAUUUAUCGCCUUUGGAUGGGCCCGCGUUGGAUUAGCUAGUUGGUAGGGUAAAAGCCUACUAAGGCGACGAUCCAUAGCUGGUCUGAGAGGAUGAUCAGCCACACUGGGACUGAGACACGGCCCAGACUCCUACGGGAAGCAGCAGUGGGGAAUAUUGGACAAUGGGCGAAAGCCUGAUCCAGCAAUGCCGCGUGAGUGAUGAAGGCCUUAGGGUUGUAAAGCUCUUUUACCCGGGAUGAUAAUGGCAGUACCGGGAGAAUAAGCUCCGGCUAACUCCGUG
This 433-nucleotide ribosomal RNA is filed under the name uncultured bacterium. RNAcentral describes it as "partial 16S ribosomal RNA". It matches the Rfam family "Bacterial small subunit ribosomal RNA", at positions 29 to 507 of the family's 1533-position model. The record is from RNAcentral.